AAUAAGUACAGUUUUGCACUAUUCACGUUUAAUGUUUGACUGUUCGUCUUAUUUGAAAAUUUUUUAUGAUUAGUAUUUUUAUUGCUAUUAGAUGAUAAAACAUGAAUAGUACUCUAUGUGUGACUAAAUAUCUUUAAAUUUGGUCAAACGUUGUGCACGGAUAUUCAUGGCUGCACUUAUU
RNAcentral lists this microRNA precursor (181 nucleotides) under Oryza rufipogon (brownbeard rice). RNAcentral's name for it is "MIR812 microRNA precursor family". It matches the Rfam family "MIR812 microRNA precursor family". Lineage: Eukaryota; Viridiplantae; Streptophyta; Magnoliopsida; Poales; Poaceae. The record is from Rfam by way of RNAcentral.